This 301-nucleotide ribosomal RNA is filed under the name uncultured bacterium. RNAcentral's name for it is "partial 16S ribosomal RNA". It matches the Rfam family "Bacterial small subunit ribosomal RNA", at positions 509 to 807 of the family's 1533-position model. The record is from RNAcentral.
CAGUCGCCACGGUAAUACAGAGGAUGCAAGCGUUAUCCGGAAUGAUUGGGCGUAAAGCGUCUGUAGGUGGCUUUUCAAGUCCGCCGUCAAAUCCCAGGGCUCAACCCUGGACAGGCGGUGGAAACUACCAAGCUGGAGUACGGUAGGGGCAGAGGGAAUUUCCGGUGUAGCGGUGAAAUGCGUAGAUAUCGGAAGGAACACCUGUGGCGAAAGCGGCUCACUGGACCAUAACUGACGCUGAUGCACGAAAACUAGGGGAGCAAACAGGAUUAGAUACCCCGGUAGUCCCUGUCUCUUAUAC